Molecule: ribosomal RNA, 1678 nt
Filed under: Chirocentrus nudus (whitefin wolf-herring)
Lineage: Eukaryota; Metazoa; Chordata; Actinopteri; Clupeiformes; Chirocentridae
Description: 16S rRNA
Rfam family: Bacterial large subunit ribosomal RNA (bases 98-1598)
Source: RNAcentral
GCCAAACAACUAGCCCCCCCCCCCAAAACUAAAUUAUAACCAUAAGUAGAAGCACAUGAACCCAAAUGAGCUAAAAGUAAAACAUUUUCCCACCCCAGUAUGGGCGACAGAAAAGGACCCAGCAGGGAGCAAUAGAGAUAGUACCGCAAGGGAAAGCUGAAAGAGAGAUGAAAGAGAGCACUUAAGCACGGCAAAGCAGAGAUUUGUCCUCGUACCUUUUGCAUCAUGAUCUAGCUAGCACCCCCAGGCAAAGAGACCUCUAGUCUGACACCCCGAAACCGGACGAGCUACCCCGGGACAGCUUACAGGAGCCAACCCGUCUCUGUGGCAAAAGAGUGGGAAGAUCCCCCGGUAGAGGUGAAAUGCCUACCGAGUCAGGUUAUAGCUGGUUACCUAGGAAACGAAUAGAAGUUCAGCCCUGCCUUCUCCCCCACCAAUACAGCCAAGCUAAGCAAGGAUACGGGACCCAGCAGGAGUUAGUUGAGAGAGGUACAGCUCUCCCAACAAAGGACACAACCUCUAUCAGGAGGCUAAGGAAUAUAAUUCAGAAGUUAAGGGCCGCAGUGGGCCCAAAGGCAGCCACCUGGAAAGAAAGCGUUAAAGCUCAGACCCUCACCUAGACUAUUAUUACAUUAAGCACCCCCACGCCCCUAAUCCUACUAGGCCGCCCCAUGCGCCCAUGGGAGAGACCAUGCUAGAACGAGUAACAAGAAGAAUGAACUUCUCCCAGCACACGUGUACGUCGAACCGGACCCCCCACCGACCACUAACGAACCCACCACCAGAGGGCAGCACGCCACCGCCCCACCAAGCCGAGAAAAACACGAGCUAAAAGAUCGUUGACCCCACACAGGAGUGCACCAACUAGGGAAAGACAAAAAGGGCCGAAAGGAACUCGGCAAACCCGGGCCUCGCCUGUUUACCAAAAACAUCGCCUCUUGCCCCCCCCCACAUAAGAGGUCCCACCUGCCCUGUGACCAACGUUUAACGGCCGCGGUAUUUUGACCGUGCAAAGGUAGCGCAAUCAAUUGUCUUUUAAAUGGAGACCUGUAUGAAUGGUAUUACGAGGGCCCGACUGUCUCUCGACCCCUGUCAGUGAAACUGAUCUGCCCGUGCAGAAGCGAGCAUUUCAAUACAAGACGAGAAGACCCUAUGGAGCUUUAGGCGCCCACCACCUGUAAUGAGCACUUGUUAUACUCAAGAUUCAACCCGCACAGCAAUGGCACAAACGCCUUCGGUUGGGGCGACCACGGGGGAAAAUGAAGCCCCCGAGCGGACCUACCCACCAGAGUUUAGGGCCACACCCCUGAACCACAGAACAUCUGACCGAAAAUGAUCCGGCCCACACCCGAUCAACGGACCAAGUUACCCUAGGGAUAACAGCGCAAUCCCCUCCCAGAGUCCCUAUCGACAAGGGGGUUUACGACCUCGAUGUUGGAUCAGGACAUCCUAAUGGUGCAGCCGCUAUUAAGGGUUCGUUUGUUCAACGAUUAAAGUCCUACGUGAUCUGAGUUCAGACCGGAGUAAUCCAGGUCAGUUUCUAUCUGUAAGGCCACCCCUCCUAGUACGAAAGGACCGGAGAAGUAAGGCCAAUGCCUACGGCACGCCUUCCCCCCACUCGCUGAAACCAAAUAAAGCAGAAUAAGGGGAGGCCCCCCCCAGCCCCAGAGAAGGGCUU